GCCAGUGUAGUGUAGUGGUUUGAGUGCUGGACUGUGACUCUUGAGAUCAGAGUUUGAAUCUCUGCUCAGACA
Molecule: non-coding RNA, 72 nt
Organism: Phrynosoma platyrhinos (Desert horned lizard)
Lineage: Eukaryota; Metazoa; Chordata; Lepidosauria; Squamata; Phrynosomatidae
Source: the annotation of a GenBank genome assembly